Molecule: ribosomal RNA, 483 nt
Filed under: uncultured bacterium
Lineage: Bacteria
Description: partial 16S ribosomal RNA
Rfam family: Bacterial small subunit ribosomal RNA
Source: RNAcentral
UUGAACGCUGGCGGCAUGCCUUACACAUGCAAGUCGAACGGCAGCGCGGACUUCGGUCUGGCGGCGAGUGGCGAACGGGUGAGUAAUACAUCGGAACGUACCCUGUUGUGGGGGAUAACUAGUCGAAAGAUUAGCUAAUACCGCAUACGACCUGAGGGUGAAAGUGGGGGACCGCAAGGCCUCACGCAGCAGGAGCGGCCGAUGUCUGAUUAGCUAGUUGGUGGGGUAAAGGCCCACCAAGGCGACGAUCAGUAGCUAGUCUGAGAGGACGAUCAGCCACACUGGGACUGAGACAUGGCCCAGACUCCUACGGGAGGCAGCAGUGGGGAAUUUUGGACAAUGGGGGCAACCCUGAUCCAGCAAUGCCGCGUGUGUGAAGAAGGCCUUCGGGUUGUAAAGCACUUUUGUCCGGAAAGAAAUCGCGCUGGUUAAUACCUGGCGUGGAUGACGGUACCGGAAGAAUAAGCACCGGCUAACUACGUG